RNAcentral lists this ribosomal RNA (797 nucleotides) under Streptomyces sp. DB11. Its description in RNAcentral is "bacterial SSU rRNA". It matches the Rfam family "Bacterial small subunit ribosomal RNA", at positions 44 to 857 of the family's 1533-position model. The record is from RNAcentral. Lineage: Bacteria; Bacillati; Actinomycetota; Actinomycetes; Kitasatosporales; Streptomycetaceae.
GUGCUUACACAUGCAAGUCGAACGAUGAACCACUUCGGUGGGGAUUAGUGGCGAACGGGUGAGUAACACGUGGGCAAUCUGCCCUUCACUCUGGGACAAGCCCUGGAAACGGGGUCUAAUACCGGAUACCACUCCCGCAGGCAUCUGUGGGGGUUGAAAGCUCCGGCGGUGAAGGAUGAGCCCGCGGCCUAUCAGCUUGUUGGUGAGGUAAUGGCUCACCAAGGCGACGACGGGUAGCCGGCCUGAGAGGGCGACCGGCCACACUGGGACUGAGACACGGCCCAGACUCCUACGGGAGGCAGCAGUGGGGAAUAUUGCACAAUGGGCGAAAGCCUGAUGCAGCGACGCCGCGUGAGGGAUGACGGCCUUCGGGUUGUAAACCUCUUUCAGCAGGGAAGAAGCGAAAGUGACGGUACCUGCAGAAGAAGCGCCGGCUAACUACGUGCCAGCAGCCGCGGUAAUACGUAGGGCGCAAGCGUUGUCCGGAAUUAUUGGGCGUAAAGAGCUCGUAGGCGGCUUGUCACGUCGGGUGUGAAAGCCCGGGGCUUAACCCCGGGUCUGCAUUCGAUACGGGCUAGCUAGAGUGUGGUAGGGGAGAUCGGAAUUCCUGGUGUAGCGGUGAAAUGCGCAGAUAUCAGGAGGAACACCGGUGGCGAAGGCGGAUCUCUGGGCCAUUACUGACGCUGAGGAGCGAAAGCGUGGGGAGCGAACAGGAUUAGAUACCCUGGUAGUCCACGCCGUAAACGGUGGGAACUAGGUGUUGGCGACAUUCCACGUCGUCGGUGCCGCAGCUAACG